GGCAAAACGCGAAGAACCUUACCUAGGCUUGACAUGCAUCUCUAAGCACGUGAAAGCGUGUGACCCUUCGGGGAAUUUGCACAGGUGCUGCAUGGCCGUCGUCAGCUCGUGUCGUGAGAUGUUGGGUUAAGUCCCGCAACGAGCGCAACCCUUGUGACUAGCUGCCAGCACGUCAUGGUGGGAACUCUAGUCAGACUGCCCAGAUCAACUGGGAGGAAGGUGGGGACGACGUCAGGUCAGUAUGGCCCUUACGCCUAGGGCUGCACACGUACUACAAUGCCCAGCACAAUGAGAACCGAGACCGCGAGGUGGAGGAAAUCAAUAAAACUGGGCCCAGUUCAGAUUGUAGGCUGCAACUCGCCUACAUGAAGUCGGAAUCGCUAGUAAUGGCGCAUCAGCAACGGCGCCGUGAAUACGUUCCCGGGUCUUGUACACAC
Molecule: ribosomal RNA, 437 nt
Filed under: uncultured bacterium
Lineage: Bacteria
Description: bacterial SSU rRNA
Rfam family: Bacterial small subunit ribosomal RNA
Source: RNAcentral